This is a long non-coding RNA of Seriola dumerili (greater amberjack), 439 nucleotides long. RefSeq lists it as uncharacterized. NCBI's taxonomy places the organism in Eukaryota, Metazoa, Chordata, Actinopteri, Carangiformes, Carangidae. The record is from RefSeq and is a predicted model, not a curated record. The transcript has 2 exons.
CAAAGCGCACAGCCAUCAUCCACAGCUUAGAGCUCAUUCAGGAGCUCCCAGUGCAGAACCUGAAGCCAGCCGUGGUCAAGAUCUAUGACUACUACCAGCCAAGUGACCAGGCUGAGACUGAAUACAUCUCCCCUUGUGCUGCAGGAAACAAUCUGGAAUAACAUGCUGUCCCUGUUAUUACAGAAACAAAAAAUUCAACAAUAUAUGAAAUACAACGUACAAAAUGUUUUAAGUUUUCCUCUAACCUACAGGGAUGAUUGUAGAACUUUUAUUUUUAAUUUUUAUGAUGAAAAGUCUCACUAUAUUAUAUUAAACUAUAUUUGAUAUAAUGUAAAAUAAAACUAAAGUCCCCUGAUGAUUUUUCCUUUCAUUUGCAGCUUUAAGACUGAUGUGUUCUCUGUGAUUCAAGUAAAACCUUUAAUAAAUAAUAAUAAUAUAA